UUUACUUCGAAUGCAAAAUAAAGCACCGGACUACACUAGGAACCACCUCCUUGGCCAGCUCAAUCUCCCUUGAGCUGGCUUUUCU
Rahnella aquatilis is the source of this 85-nucleotide small RNA. It matches the Rfam family "CyaR/Rye RNA". From Rfam's summary of the family: This sRNA was originally identified in a large scale screen of E. coli. It was shown to bind Hfq and called RyeE. Lineage: Bacteria; Pseudomonadati; Pseudomonadota; Gammaproteobacteria; Enterobacterales; Yersiniaceae. The record is from Rfam.